GGCACUAUGGCGGAGUGGUUAUCGCGUGGCACUCGAACUUUAAAUCUCAGUUCGAGGGGAAAGCAUCUUCCCCACUCGACAGAGAAUAUGCUAUUCCCUCUGGGAGCACAGGUUCAAAUCCUGUUGGUGUCG
Molecule: non-coding RNA, 132 nt
Organism: Sporisorium reilianum f. sp. reilianum
Lineage: Eukaryota; Fungi; Basidiomycota; Ustilaginomycetes; Ustilaginales; Ustilaginaceae
Source: the annotation of a GenBank genome assembly